RNAcentral lists this long non-coding RNA (2286 nucleotides) under Oryzias sinensis (Chinese medaka). RNAcentral describes it as "lncRNA (ENSOSIG00000011365.1)". The record is from RNAcentral. Lineage: Eukaryota; Metazoa; Chordata; Actinopteri; Beloniformes; Adrianichthyidae.
UGCGUCAAGAUUUUUUUGUUUUUGCUUUUGGUUUGUUAAUUGAAAACUGUUUUAGCUCUGUGAGAUACAUAAAAGUGCUUUACAAAUAAAGUUUGAUUUGAUUUACUUUAUCCAGGAUGGUGGAAAUCUGGAAAAGAGGCUCAAACCAGCAUGCAGCUCUAAUUAUUAGUACCGGUAUUCGUGUUCUUCUCACAGCUUCACACAGAAAGCAAAAUGCAAGAAGAAAAGAACCCCUCUAAUCUCUCCAUUGAACCAGGAUUGGGAUAAACCAUUGCUCUAAAAGAAGGAGUAAAUCAGCAACACACAUUUGCAAGCACAGGUAUUGGUGUUACAAAAAUAUCCAUCCCAUAAUCACAAUGAACUGUAAAUAAAAGUCAAAUGAAGUGAACUGUUUCUGUCCAGUGCAGAUACUUUUUGUUCUUCCCUUGACUCGGGGCAAUCCAACCAGGCUGCAUGUACACACCAGCCAUAAUCAUGGACUUCCCCGACAACACGGGGGAGCCCACCCAGCUACUGUUGGGCGAAGGCGGGGCCACACCCUGAAGAGGCCGCCAGUCCGUUGCAGGGCCCCUCAUGAAGAGCUUUGGAUAGCAACUCAACGAAAAGUUUCAGGUUUUAAUUGAAUUCCUCCCCUUUUUUCCUCAGUUCAACACAAUAUUUCACCCUAUUUUACAUCACUUUUUCAAAAUAAAGUGAUGCAAUUUCAUUUCACACACCAAGAAAAAAAAUCUCCUCAAUAACUCUGGGUGUAUAGAUUCAUCCGAAGGAAAGGGGUGCAGUCAUUUGAAACACUCCAACACACGAAACUUGAAACUUUAAAAAUGUAAUAAGGGUAUCCUGUCAACAUUAUAAUAAAGUUUAUACAGGAUAUAGAAAAGCCUGCCUCCUAAAAUGCUAUUAUGUGCAGGUCAGAUGGAUCUGUUUUAGAUUUAAAAGGUUGUUCUCUGUUUGCUGUCGUGACACAGCUCUCCAGUCCGACUCCUGGGGGGAUUUUAACUCCAUUUCUCAUCCCUACAAGGUAACCUAGGAGCUGGUUUGUCAGGCUUAGUCAAGCUGACUGUACCUUCAGCUUGUCGCCAAGCAGAACAAAAUGAGCGACCCCCAUGGAGAGGCAAGAGCUGCUCACUGGAGCUCAACUAAGCAAGGGGGGGGGGGGAGUUUAUAAAAAAAAAAACAUUGUAAUCACAGGAGGAGCAGUGUCUCUGGCUGGUUAAUUAGCAGUGGCAAGUUGGGGAUGUCUUUGAAGCUUCAUGGUUUGGCCACGGCAAAAUAACGGGCUGUCGUUGCAAAAAUAAAACCCAUUCAUGAGAAAAAAAAAAAAAAAGGAUUCAUUUGUUCACAUUUUUUUAGGACAAUAUGCAUAAAUUAACACUGUGUAAAAAAAAACGUUUAAAAAUAAGCAAGAAAAGCAGCUUGUGUCCAAGGCAAAAGGGUAAUUAAGCAAUAAUAAUAAAAGAAGCAGGGACAGCACAUGGUCAUAUUUGUUUUCCAUAUAUUUAUAUGCUGUUUUUUGUAAUAUAUCAGCAUCUGGACAAAAGGCAUAAGCAGACAGGGGAGACCUUUCCUGUUGUGAGACUUUUCAUUCAACACUAAAGUGAAAAAGUUUUCAUCUCAAUCACAUAAUCACACAGAUCCCCACGAUGCGCCUCUUACUGUAUUUAUUACUUCUUUGUUUUUUGAAAUGUUGGGGCGUCACAUGUGGCAAAAAGCCUCCAGGCUGUUUCUCUCUUGAUACCUCACAUCCUCAGUCUUUCCUCUCCAUCUAAUGAUAACUACCUGGCAGUGAGGACAAACAUCGUGGACGAGCCACAAGGAAACGCUGUCUGGCAUCAUUAAGCACCACCUGCCACCACCAGCCAGCAAGGCUGGGAUGGAGUCAGUGCUGCAGUAAAACUAUGCCACCCUGUGGCAGGAAAAAGCUUCGGGGCAGCUCAGAGGCCCUGCAAGCUCCAUCUGACAUGUUGAGCUGGAUUUAAAAAGAAAAGACUUGAUUUUAGUAUAAUUUAAUGCAACACUGGUCCCUGAAGGAUGUUUUUGUCUGUGCGGUGUUUCGCUCGUGGAUGUGUUAUAUAUGCUCACAAACAACAACUUUUUUUUUUUUCUGGAGCAACAGACUUUACUGAGAUUUUAGCUCUAAGACGGGAAGAAAUGUGAGAACAAAGAUGCAAAUCCUAACUGAAGCCUACAAUGCAGUUUGUGCACAGCGUGUACAGAGCAUUUAGUAAUGCAUGUAUGAUUUUCAAAUAGUAAGAUAUGCAGAUUGUUGUCAACCAAAUCCAUUUUUCC